Molecule: ribosomal RNA, 494 nt
Filed under: uncultured bacterium
Lineage: Bacteria
Description: partial 16S ribosomal RNA
Rfam family: Bacterial small subunit ribosomal RNA
Source: RNAcentral
GACGAACGCUGGCGGCGUGCUUAACACAUGCAAGUCGAACGGUGAAGCGCCUUCCUUUUUGGUGGGUGUGGAUGAGUGGCGAACGGGUGAGUAACACGUGAGUAACCUUCCCCCUUCUUCUGGAUAACCGCAUGAAAGUGUUGCUAAUACAGGAUAUUCUGGGUCUGUCGCAUGAUGGGUCUGGGAUAGAUAUUCUUUCGGUGAGGGAUGUGCUCGUGUCCUAUCAGCUUGUUGGUGGGGUGAUGGCCUACCAAGGCGGUGACGGGUAGCCGGCCUGAGAGGGUGGACGGUCACACGGGGACUGAGACACGGCACAGACUCCUACGGGAGGCAGAAGUGGGGAAUAUUGCACAAUGGGAGCAAGCCUGAUGCAGCGACGCCGCGUGAGGGAUGGAGGCCGUCGGGUUGUGAACCUCUUUCGCCAGUGAAGCAGGCCUGCCUCGUUUGUGGGUGGGUUGACGGUAGCUGGAUAAGAAGCGCCGGCUAACUACGUG